AAAGUCGUAACAAGGUAACCGUAGGUGAACCUGCGGUUGGAUCAUUAGAAAUUAUCGGUGGUGGUUUUCUCGUUAUGGGGAUUCCGCUUUUAAAAACACCGUUAAACCUUUAUGUGAACUUGUAUCUGUUCUUGGUGUCCGGGUCUGGGGGACCCUUAAAUGCAGUGGGAAGGAACGGGGGGAAUCGCGUGAACCUAGGUUGGCGCGUUUUCCCCCGUUUAUCACGGGCCACCAACUGUGUUGAACCUUGAUAAGUCUUUGUUUGUUUUGGUCUUUCUUUUAACGUCUCCUUGAUUGGAGUGUUAAUACAAAAUUGAAAACAACUUUUGGCAACGGAUCUCUUGGCUCUC
Molecule: unclassified non-coding RNA, 350 nt
Filed under: Chytridiomycota sp.
Lineage: Eukaryota; Fungi; Chytridiomycota
Description: partial contains small subunit ribosomal RNA, internal transcribed spacer 1, and 5.8S ribosomal RNA
Rfam family: Eukaryotic small subunit ribosomal RNA (bases 1-47)
Source: RNAcentral